UACGUAGGGUGCGAGCGUUAAUCGGAAUUACUGGGCGUAAAGCGUGCGCAGGCGGUUAUGCAAGACAGAUGUGAAAUCCCCGGGCUCAACCUGGGAGCUGCAUUUGUGACUGCAUAGCUAGAGUGCGGCAGAGGGAGAUGGAAUUCCGCGUGUAGCAGUGAAAUGCGUAGAUAUGCGGAGGAACACCGAUGGCGAAGGCAAUCUCCUGGGCCUGCACUGACGCUCAUGCACGAAAGCGUGGGGAGCAAACAGG
This 253-nucleotide ribosomal RNA is filed under the name uncultured bacterium. RNAcentral's name for it is "partial 16S ribosomal RNA". It matches the Rfam family "Bacterial small subunit ribosomal RNA", at positions 524 to 776 of the family's 1533-position model. The record is from RNAcentral.